RNAcentral lists this ribosomal RNA (465 nucleotides) under uncultured bacterium. Its description in RNAcentral is "partial 16S ribosomal RNA". It matches the Rfam family "Bacterial small subunit ribosomal RNA", at positions 28 to 507 of the family's 1533-position model. The record is from RNAcentral.
GAUGAACGCUGGCGGCGUGCUUAACACAUGCAAGUCGAACGGAAAGGCUCCUGCUUGCAGGGGUACUCGAGUGGCGAACGGGUGAGUAACACGUGGGUGAUCUGCCCUGCACUUCGGGAUAAGCCUGGGAAACUGGGUCUAAUACCGGAUAGGACCACAUUUUGGAUGGUGUGGUGGAAAGUUUUUCGGUGUGGGAUGAGCUCGCGGCCUAUCAGCUUGUUGGUGGGGUAAUGGCCUACCAAGGCGUCGACGGGUAGCCGGCCUGAGAGGGUGGACGGCCACAUUGGGACUGAGAUACGGCCCAGACUCCUACGGGAGGCAGCAGUGGGGAAUAUUGCACAAUGGGGGCAAGCCUGAUGCAGCGACGCCGCGUGGGGGAUGACGGCCUUCGGGUUGUAAACUCCUUUCGCUAGGGACGAAGCGCAAGUGACGGUACCUGGAGAAGAAGCACCGGCUAACUACGUG